AUUUGCAGUCAGUGGCACACUGCGGUUAGCAGGAUAAUUGUGUUGCAAACAAUUUCCACAAGGAGCAGCAUGCAAAAAAACAGACUUUGCAAAAACGAUUUCUCUGCAGCGUGUUUCCUGUCGGUGCAGCUGAUUUAACUUGAAGUGGUUCCUGUUACUUCUACAUUUGUUUGACACGUCUUUACUGACUGAAUUUGCAGACUGUUGUAGUUUGGACCUUUGCAUCAAGACUAUCCAGACAGUCACUGAGGGACAGGAGAGGAGAGGAGAGGAGAGGAGAGGAGGAGAGAGGAGAGAGGAGAGGGGAGGAGACGAGAAGAGGAAAUGAGAGGAGAGGAGAAAAGAGGAAAUGAGAGGAGAGGAGAAAAGAGGAGAGAGGAGAGGAGAGGAGAGGUGGAGAGAAAAGAAGAGGAGAAGAGGGGAGAGGAGAGGAGAGGAAAUGAGAGGAGGGGAGAGGAGAGGUGGAGAGAAAAGAAGAGGAGAAGAGGGGAGAGGAGAGGAGAAAAGAGGAAAUGAGAGGAGAGGAGAAAAGAGGAGAGAGGAGAGGAGAGGAGAGGUGGAGAGAAAAGAAGAGGAGAAGAGGGGAGAGGAGAGGAGAGGAAAUGAGAGGAGGGGAGAGGAGAGGUGGAGAGAAAAGAAGAGGAGAAGAGAGAAGUGAAGAGGAGAGGAGAGAAGAAAAAAGAAGAGGAGAAAAAAGGAAAAAGAAGAAAAGAAAAAGA
Molecule: non-coding RNA, 719 nt
Organism: Xyrichtys novacula (pearly razorfish)
Lineage: Eukaryota; Metazoa; Chordata; Actinopteri; Labriformes; Labridae
Source: the annotation of a GenBank genome assembly